GGUUAAGUUAUAAAGGGCGCAUGGUGAAUGCCUUGGCAUCAGGAGCCGAAGAAGGACGUGAUAAGCUGCGAUAAGCUUCGGGUAGGCGCAAAUAGCCUGUGAUCCGGAGAUCUCCGAAUGAGGAAACUCACAUGGGUAACCCCAUGUAUCCUUAAGUGAAUACAUAGCUUAAGGAAGGCAUACCCAGGGAACUGAAACAUCUAAGUACCUGGAGGAAGAGAAAGAAAACUCGAUUCCGUUAGUAGCGGCGAGCGAAAGCGGAAGAGCCCAAACCAGAAACUUGUUUCUGGGGUUGCGGACAGAUCAUAAAAUGCAAAGAUGGCUAACCGAACAUUUCUGGAAAGCUAGGCCAUAGAGUGUAAUAGCCACGUAGGUGAAAGUUAUCAAUGCAGAGAUCUGAUCCAGAGUACCACGAGACACGUGAAACCUUGUGGGAAGCAGGGAGGACCACCUCCCAAGGCUAAAUACUACCUGAUGACCGAUAGUGGAGCAGUACCGUGAGGGAAAGGUGAAAAGAACCCCGGGAGGGGAGUGAAAUAGAACCUGAAACCGUGUGCCUACAACCGGUCAGAGCACUAUGUUUUAUACAGUGUGAUGACGUGCUUUUUGUAGAACGAUCCAGCGAGUUACGGUAUGCAGCAAGGUUAAGCACUUAAGGUGUGGAGCCGAAGGGAAACCGAGUCUGAAUAGGGCGGAUAGUUGCAUGCUGUAGACCCGAAACCGGGUGACCUAUCCAUGGACAGGGUGAAGCGGAAGUAAAAUUCCGUGGAGGCCCGAACCACGUUGGUGUUGAAAAACCAUGGGAUGAGCUGUGGAUAGCGGAGAAAUUCCAAUCGAACUCGGAGAUAGCUGGUUCUCCUCGAAAUAGCUUUAGGGCUAGCGUCGGACUAAUGAGUGAUGGAGGUAGAGCACUGAAUGGGCUAGGGGGCAUUGCGCUUACUGAACCCUAUCAAACUCCGAAUGCCAUACACUUUUACUCCGGCAGUCAGACUACGAGUGAUAAGAUCCGUAGUCAAAAGGGAAACAGCCCAGAUCGUCAGCUAAGGUCCCUAAGUGUAAGUUAA
RNAcentral lists this non-coding RNA (1064 nucleotides) under Clostridium sp. N3C. RNAcentral's name for it is "Bacterial large subunit ribosomal RNA". It matches the Rfam family "Bacterial large subunit ribosomal RNA", at positions 1 to 1062 of the family's 2925-position model. Lineage: Bacteria; Bacillati; Bacillota; Clostridia; Eubacteriales; Clostridiaceae. The record is from Rfam by way of RNAcentral.